Molecule: ribosomal RNA, 621 nt
Filed under: Apiotrichum dulcitum
Lineage: Eukaryota; Fungi; Basidiomycota; Tremellomycetes; Trichosporonales; Trichosporonaceae
Description: eukaryotic LSU rRNA
Rfam family: Eukaryotic large subunit ribosomal RNA
Source: RNAcentral
UACUUUGACUCUGGCCUCAAAUCAGGUAGGACUACCCGCUGAACUUAAGCAUAUCAAUAAGCGGAGGAAAAGAAACUAACAAGGAUUCCCUUAGUAACGGCGAGUGAACCGGGAAGAGCUCAAAUUUGUAAUCUGGCUGUCUUCGAUAGUCCGAGUUGUAAUCUAUAGAAGCGUUUUCCGUGCUGAACUGUGUAUAAGUCCCUUGGAACAGGGUAUCAAAGAGGGUGACAAUCCCGUACUUUACACAAUCAUCAGUGCUCUGUGAUACGUUCUCUACGAGUCGAGUUGUUUGGGAAUGCAGCUCAAAAUGGGUGGUAAAUUCCAUCUAAAGCUAAAUAUUGGCGAGAGACCGAUAGCGAACAAGUACCGUGAGGGAAAGAUGAAAAGCACUUUGGAAAGAGAGUUAAACAGUACGUGAAAUUGUUAAAAGGGAAACGAUUGAAGUCAGUCGUGUUUAUUGGAUUCAGCCGGUCUUCGGUGUACUUCCUUUAAACGGGUCAACAUCAGUUUUGUUCGGUGGAUAAAGGUAUUAGGAAUGUGGCUUCUUCGGAAGUGUUAUAGCCUAGUAUUGCAUACACUGGAGGAGACUGAGGACUGCAGCUCGCCUUUAUGGCCGGGGUC